Molecule: long non-coding RNA, 262 nt
Filed under: Panax ginseng (ginseng)
Lineage: Eukaryota; Viridiplantae; Streptophyta; Magnoliopsida; Apiales; Araliaceae
Description: long non-coding RNA (PGIN_LNC005926)
Source: RNAcentral
GGAAAGUUAGCAUUGAAUCUAGGCCACAGAGUCGGAGAUCCCAUGGCCUCGGCAUGAUAACCCUGACCUGAAGGACCGGGUCGUUCAGGCGAGGGUCUUGACCUUUCUGGGGAAGGAGCUGGUUGCUCAGGAGGAGUAGGUUCAGGUUCAGCGUACACGGUCUCGGGAGAUGGAGAUUUAUUUGGACUGGGUACUUGGACAGGAGCGGCAGAUGCAGAGCUUGGAUGGCUGUCAGGUGUUCUUUUUCUCUUUCUGGACAGAG